AGGAGGCGCUGACAUACAUAGGUUUAUUUACAAUAUUCUACCCGCUGCUAUGACUAAUAAGGUAGCAAACAAAUACAGCUAUGUAGGGCACAAGAAGAAGCAUGCAUUUAAAGAUUUGCCGUUGUGCACAGUUAUAUACAAAUCAGUGCGUCAUCUAUUUCCAUCAUCACAGGACGAAGAGAUUCGUUCAAGAAUCAGUAGCUGGUUAGAUCAGUCUGGCACAAGACUCAAGAGGGAAUCAGACACUGAAGCAGCCGGUUCCAAAAAAC
Phymastichus coffea is the source of this 269-nucleotide long non-coding RNA. RefSeq lists it as uncharacterized. The transcript is spliced from 3 exons. NCBI's taxonomy places the organism in Eukaryota, Metazoa, Arthropoda, Insecta, Hymenoptera, Eulophidae. The record is from RefSeq and is a predicted model, not a curated record.